Helianthus annuus (common sunflower) is the source of this 1196-nucleotide long non-coding RNA. RefSeq lists it as uncharacterized. The transcript has 6 exons. Lineage: Eukaryota; Viridiplantae; Streptophyta; Magnoliopsida; Asterales; Asteraceae. The record is from RefSeq and is a predicted model, not a curated record.
UCUUUUUUAUUUGGAGGGAGAGAAUGAGAAAAAAAAAGAGAUGGAAGAGAAAUAGAGAGAAGGUUCUAUAGCUUUCUUCACUCAUCAGAACCCACCAUCAACGUUCGUCAUCAUCAUCGGGGCUUGUGGAUGGAGCGAACACAAGACUUGAUUUGGUUUGAAACCUGCCGAAUCUGGUGGUGGCGGUGACAAAGGAGUUUUAGGGCUUUCUUGAUGACCUAAGGGCGGCGAUUAGCGGUGGUUUUUAAGCUCGAGUAACAGCGGCGACCAAAAAUGCUUAGAUUGGCCGCUGCAUUUGAUUAGGGUUCAGGCGGCAGCGUAGGAAAGUAUAUGCCGUAUACUAAGGCAAUGGAGACAAAAUCGUUUUCUGGCCACGAUCAUGACCGAUAGGCGCAACAUGGGUCAUUACCAACCGGAUCUGCGACGGUGUCGGGUGUAUGUGCUUAUUUACGGCUAGCUCAGGCAGAGUUGAUAGUUGAAAGUUGUUACGAAAUUGUGUUAUCAGCUGCAACAUUGCUGAAUGCUUUUCAGUGGUGAGUAGUGGCGGUUUAGGGUUCUUACAGGAGUAAAUCUGUAGCUUUAGAUUAGGAAGACUGAGGCUUGGUUGUGGUUACGGAGCUCUAGCGAUUCAAGAUGAGGAGCUGCUGCAAUGGCUUUGUCAGCUGCAGCAAACAUCAGAUAGAAAUUGCAUGUUCACAGUUUACUCAAUCAUGGUAAUUUCUGACCAGUUUAUUUGUGCUUUUAGGCAAACAGUGCUGUUCCUAUCCUUUGUGUUGCUAGAAAUGUUGCUUGCAAUGUCAGAGGUGGUUUUUUCAAGUAAGAAAGUGAUUUUUGGUUAAUAUUCACUAUUCGCUGCAACAAUAUGCAUGAUUGCCACCCAAGUUGCAUUGUUCCAGUUAUGGGAUACGGGAUCAUCGCAAGUUGCUCUGUCAUUUGGUAAAGUCAUCAGGGCUGCACCACUAGCAUCUAUUACUAUCCACAGUCUGCGAGUGUUGUAUACCGUAGGUGAGGACUAGCAGGGUAGAUAUCAUGAGAAGCUUUGGAGCUAACUUCUAAGACAAUGAAAUUAUCACCCAAAGGAACAUUUAGACUUCUCGUGUAAACAUUUAGAAUUUGGAAUAUGUUACUCAUUACACAACGUUUAUGCUAACAUUUGGAAUAUUUUUCGGAUGGAAAUAAUGUGAAUUUUGUGAUUA